GCACGGGUGAGUAACACGUGACUAACCUACCCUUGAGUUGGGGGAUAACUGAGGGAAACCUCAGCUAAUACCGCAUAAUACCUACGGGUCAAGGAGCAAUUCGCUUAGGAGGGGGUCGCGGUCGAUUAUUUAGUUGGCGGGGUAUGGCCCACCAAGACUUGUGAUCGAUAUCCGGCCUGAGAGGGCGCACGGACACACUGGAACUUGAAACACGGUCCAGACUCCUACGGGAGGCAGCAGUGGGGAAUUUUGCGCAAUGGGGGAAACCCUGACGCAGCAACGCCGCGUGGAGGAUGAAGUCCUUCGGGACGUAAACUCCUUUCGAUCGGGACGAUUAUGACGGUACCGGAAGAAGAAGCCCCGGCUAACUUCGUGCCAGCAGCCGCGGUAAUACGAGGGGGGCGAGCGUUGUUCGGAAUUAUUGGGCGUAAAGGGUGCGUAGGCGGUUUGGUAAGUCUUAUGUGAAAUCUAUGGGCUCAACUCAUAGACUGCAUGAGAAACUGCCGGGCUUGAGUGUGGGAGAGGUGAGUGGAAUUUUCCCGGUGUAGCGGUGAAAUGCGUAGAUUUCGGAAGGAACACCUGUG
This 584-nucleotide ribosomal RNA is filed under the name uncultured bacterium. Its description in RNAcentral is "bacterial SSU rRNA". It matches the Rfam family "Bacterial small subunit ribosomal RNA", at positions 100 to 714 of the family's 1533-position model. The record is from RNAcentral.